AACGCACUGACAUCACGCUUCCUAAUAGCUUGGUAUGAUGACUGCUGUCAAAAUCGCCUGCAUGGAACCAUCCCUGACCUGGACUAACAGCAUGUAUUAGCGUGACAGAGACUAAAAAGCUAAGAACCGCCGUGCGAUGGCCGGCUUUGGGCACCGGGGGUGGGGGCUACGCUACGCGUGAAGGGCCUCAGUCCUCGGGCUUUAGUUCAGGAAGAAAAUGAAAGCUGGAGGUCUCGUGGGCGGGACUGGAGGCGGCCAGAUAGGCAAGAACCCGCAACAGGAGUAGGGACAUUUUUUCUUCAAAUUCCAAUCCCAUCCAGCGAUAGACAGGCGCGUGGGUCUCCCUCCUCCACGACCACCACACAAUGGCACACACUUUUGCUGGAAACUGAAAUCGAAGUCUCUGAGGCAGGCUGGGGCCCAGGCCGGCAGCGGGGAGGGGCAGGGUCCAGCCACCUCGGCGUGGCCUUGGCGAGCGCUCCGGGGUCAGAGGCCGUCGUUCUCGCCGCGCUCCACAGCGCGUCACCCGCUGCCCUAGCGACCCCCGGGCGACCCCGGCAUCGCCUGGCUGCGCCGUCCCGGCGGGCCGGCCCUCUCCACGCCCUCUCCUGGGGUUUGCGGUGGGCACAGCUCCCUCCAGACUGGGUCUCUCCACUAGCCUCCUCCCCAACUGCAACGUGGGAACCAGAGCUAUCCGAGUCACGAGCCCCAAGUGCACACAAAGCCCCCAACGGGGCCACGGCGCCUCCACGCCUCGCUACCUCCAGCUCCAGGAGCGCAGAACGCAGCGCCCUGGGUCACCGCGUCUGCCCUGCGGAGCAGCCCCACUGAGGGGAAGCCUCGGGCAGGAGGGGGAGGACAGCGGGCGGAGAAUACUCACGCUGGGCCCAGCCGCGCGGGGACUUCGCUGGGAACCACGCGCGGGCUCCCGCCGGGGAGCGGAGCCCCAGCCUGCAGUCCUGCGCCCGCCCCAGCACCGCCUCCUCGGAAGGGAGGCCUCUACCGUCCGGCGGCGGACCUGCAGCCGCCGCGGGAGACGCUGCCCCGCCCCCCGGCCCCGCCCUUCGGCCCAUCCCCGCCCCGCUGGCCUCCUUUUCCCCUGCCCCCUCCCUCCGCUCCUCAACGCCCGCCGGGUGCAAUCUGCUCUCUCCGGGAGACGAACGCGAAGCGACGUGGAAACCCUUCCACCAAAAUGAGCUGUGAUAUCCUUUUGAUGGCUAUAAUUUAUUCCAAAUCGUCCCUGGACUGAAACGAUCAAUUAGCAGCCCGAAACGCACUGUGAAGUAAAUUGUCACACUCUCUAUUACAGGAUGGUUAUCAUAUAUUUAUAAGAGUUACACCUGCCAUCUAGCAAAACAGACCUCACCCAAGGUCAAUGAUGGCUGCUAACCUUGGGGUUGAUGGGGGAAGGUGGAUGCAGCAGACCCCAGGGAAAACAGAGCACCGUGAGGAGGAGCCAGAGGAGGCCGGAGGCCCUUGUCUCAGACAUCCAGCUCUGAGAGUGAAAUGUUGCUUCCUAAUGGACUUUAAAUUACCAACAUCGCUAAACUCUCUCUUAAUAGACUUGUAAAGAUUUGCUUGCUACCUUUUUCCUCCUUCAUGUAGAAUUUGUAAUCAAGAGCCCAAUUUUGUCAUUUGGAAAUACUAAUUAUCUAAUCACGGCAUGCUGUAUAACGUACUUGUCUGCCCAAUUAGCUAGGACAAUUAUUAAAAUUCAGAGGCCUAAUUAUGUCUCAAUUUAAUGCUGGCAAACUUGCAUACAGAGCAGUAAUUAAAAUCCUCUCUUUCCCUCUGCCUUUAGGGCAGGGGAUGAUUAGGCCCUGUCAGGGGGUGUACUGAACCAAACCAGUGAAGCGUAUUGUGCAACAUGACCCUGCAUUGUUAAGUGUGUCAACAUAUUAACCUGAAUUCCCUUCAGCCCCCACAUAAUCACAUUUGGUGGAAGAAUGAAGGAGCUAAAACAUGAAGCAUUUUUUUAAAAAAACAUAAAUUCAUUUUAAUUAAUGCUGUGAGAGUUCUGGUGAAUUUCACGUUUCCAAGUGCUGGAAGACGUAAGACUGGUUCAUCUAAUUACUAGCAAAUUUGUUCUUGUAAAAACUACUUUUUUUACUCAUUUAAAUAAAAUAAUUUUUGGGGGUAGCAUUAAAAAAAAAAAGCCCUAGUUAGCUUCCAGUAAUACAGUUGAUUACCAGCUUUGAUGAUGGAACACAAGUGAAUGUUGACUUCCAAAAGAUUCAAACCCAAGACUGGAGGCAUUGAGGGGAAAAAAUACUACAAUUUAAUACUUGAAAGAUGUUAAUAAAAGUCGAACAUUACAAAUCAUAAUAUUGAAAUAAAUUCAAAAUAUUUAUCUUUUGAGCUCUUAAGUUUGAUGUCUGAAAUUGAACCAGGGUGAGAAGACCAGAGCAUUGCACAAAUUCAUGAUGCUUUGCAAGCUCCAGAUGGUGUGUGUCCACCUUGCCAGCAUCUAAACCACCUUCUCUAUGGAGUAAGGAGAGCCACAAAACCCAUUAAGACUCCUGAGCUGUCCUCUAAGUUCUGGCUUUCACUCAUGAUGGUCUUUAGAGAUUAUUCAUAUAUUCAGCUAAGGAAGGACAACAUUUAGUCUAGACCAAAAAUGAAUUAUUCUGGAGCAGAACUUCUUUCAAUUGCUUCCCAACUUCUUGCUGUAUGGAUAGCUUCCACAGAGUAAGAGACACACAAAUACACACUCAUGCACACUCGCACAGUCCCUUACUUGGACAGAGCUUACUCUCAUCUCAAUUGAUCUCUUUUUCUUUUAUUUUUUUAGAUGGAGUUUUGCUCUAGUUGCCCAGGCUGGAGUGCAGUGGUGUGAUCUCGGCUCACUGCAACCUCCACCUCCUGGAUUCAGGUGAUUCUCCUGCCUCAGCCUCCCAAGUAGCUGGGAUUACAGGUGCCCACCGCCACACCCGGCUAAUUUUUUAUAUUUUUUGUAGAGACCCCGUUUCACCAUGUUGGCCAAGCUGGUCUCAACCUCCUGACCUCAGGUGAUCUGCCUGCCUGGGCCCCACAAAGUGCUGGGAUUACAGGUGUGAGCCACCACGCCCUGCCAAUUGAUCUCAUUUUUAAUCUCAUGAUCACCUUGUAACACAUGUAAGGCAAGCAUGUCUCCAUGUUAAUAUGGGGCAGUUAAUAUACUUGCCCGAGCUCACCACUCCAUACUCUUACUUCUUGGUUGUAGGCAGGGUAAGACUAGACUCCGUUCCCCUUGCUGCCCACUGCAUCAGACAGUUAGCUGUGGAUCAGUCACCAAUCAGGGAGGCUUAGUUUGGUUAAAUAUGUCAUGUUGAGAUCGAAGUAUAGAUAAUGUUAUAAACAAUGAGACAACAAGGGGACAGCCUAUGUACCAACACCAGAGGACCUCCUGUCCUCAGUCAAUACUUACUUGCAACAUGUUUAGCCAUAUUUGUUUAGAUUUGAUGCCUCUGGCCCAUUUUCUUCCUCUUUAAGCUUUUAUAUUUCUCAAGUUUUAUAUAGUUUCAUCUGGGCCAGUGAUAGUAAAAUUUGGGUUCCUUCCUCCUAAUCUUGCUGUGGUACAAUGUGGUGUGUUUAGGGACAAUUCUGGCUGGUAUAUGCUCUCUUACUAACAAAGGCAGUGACUACAGCUAUCUCUAUAAGAGAUGGUUGGCUGGAGCCAGGACAGGCCCUUAGGCACUUGUGCUACAAAACCCGGGGGUGGUAGUCCUCCCUCCACACCCGCCACUACCCCCCACCCCCACCUCCCAGGGAGUAUGCCCUGUGUCUUGAAAAUGGCCUUGCUCUGAGCCUCUUUGGAUGGCAAACUGAAGUGCAAAUCUGUGUUCUGACUUGUUCCCGUGGCUGUCAGCAUGUUUUCCUCUUGUCAGCAGCAAUUGACUGGUCAGGCUCACCCCUGUACAGCAAUUGUAACAGCUCAUUGACAGACUAGUGACCCAGCUGGACCUGAUAAUGGAAAACUAUUGAUUUUUGUGGGCUCCACGAAUCUAAAAUGAACGACCGAUGUAAUGUCAUCAAUUGUCUCGGACUCUGAUAACCCAGGGGGAAAAAGUUUCAGGGAUUGCUUGUAUUUCCUGACAAUAGUGUUCCAAAAUCUCACUGAGCAUAUGUAAGAAGAAGCCCAUUUCUUAGAUGGGCUUUAAAUGACCCCGAUUAGUCCAUCAGGGUUUCAACGCCGAGGCUUGCAUGUUAAAUGAAGUGGAAAUUAGGAUUAUCAAUUAGCAGAACUGAGACAUAACGUACAAUUUAGGAAAGAUAUUUGUGGAGAAGCACUUUGAGAGGAAAAUGUUUAAAAUGUUUAUUAUAAAACAAGCUCACAGGAAAAAAAAAAGAAGAAGCUGGGAGGAAACCAAAAUAUAUAGGCUCUCCAAGAGCCUUGAUGUAUGAAAUUGUGAUAGAACUAUGAGGCUGCUUUGGCUUGCCUGUGUUGAUUUAUUGGUAGUAGAAAGAAAGGCUUGAAAAUAAUGUAGAGAUGCCUUAAACAUGUGUUGCAGGAAAUAGCUAUUUAGUUUUGUUUUUUAAACAAUUUUCUCCUUACUUGAUCAUUUAAAAAUCCUCAAACAUUGCUUAGUGUGUUUUUUAGAAACAACAGCAUUUUUUUCUUGAGCCAAAUUAGCAAUGGGUUGGAGCUAAUUUUGCCCAGUGGACAGGUCUAGAAAAUUCUGUACUCUAUGCUGAAUUCUGAUAGAUAGGAUUUCCCUUAAUGGCCUCUGCCAAAGGGAACUUGAUUAAAAAAAAAAAAAAAAAAAGGCAAGGCUAUUGAUCUUGGCUGCCAAACUGAUACAUUUAGUUCACAAUCCACUUGUAGUGAGGACAUAAUCAUCUUAUGGUCCUGAUCAAAUUCAGACAUUCUUAGAACACAGUUCUGAAGGCUAGACAAAUCAGAGAACACAGAAAUAACAGGGGUGCUUCCCCAUCCAUUUUAUUUGCUCAAAGAGGGCUAGAAAUCUCAGUAAGGGUCCAGAAAGAACAGGCCCCAGAGGAGAUGAAUCUAUGUGUGGCUGGACUCCUGUUCACAGGAUGCUGCCAUCUUCACACUCUCCUGUCAUGGUCCUUCUCUGGCCUUUGAUUAGCAUCGCCCCUUACAACACUACACCUCUGGUUUUCUAGCACUAUCAAAACCAGCUUUGCCAAUUGUUUGGCUGGCUACCUAUUAGUAAAGACACACAAGGUUGAGGUUGAGACCUGAAAGAAAAUUAGGCUAGGCAAAAAAAAUUGGUAUUUGGACUUUAAUAAAUAAAAAAGGCUUGAUGCAGAGAACACAAAAUUUGCCUGAUGCUGUGUGAUGUGUCUUAUGGCCCAGCCAAGGCAUCAACAGGUCAAAGGUCAGGAGUGAGGUCUUAUAUGUUUUGGAAUUCUCUACAGUGGUUUUCAUCAGGCCUUGCAUGUCACAAAUAUAUAAAUAAUCAUUGAAUAAAGGAGCAAAAAGGCUAUUUUUAAGUAUAGAAAGAUGAAGGUAACAUUUUCCAGUGUAUAAUAGAUUUGGGAGAAAAUAUUUGCAAUCAGGGUUUUCCAUGUGCAGGCUCAUGCCAGUCCAUGAAGGAGUUCACCUGUCUGUGGUAAAUAUAAAUAAAUGAACAAAGGGAAGUUAACAGGAUUUUAUAAAGCAAAAUUUAAUCUUUUUAAAAGUCCGAGAUUGGCUGAGCACGGUGGCUCAUGCCUGUAAUCCCAGCACUUUGGGAGGCCGAGGCGGGCAGGUCACCUGAGGUCAUAAGUUGAAAACCAGCCUGGCCAACAUGGUGAAACCCUGUCUCUACUAAAAAUACAAAAAUUAGCCGGCCGUGGUGGCAUGUGCCUGUAAUCCCAGCUACUCAGGAGGCUGAGGCCGGAGAAUCACUUGAAUCCGGGAGGCGGAGGUUGCAGUGAGCCAAAAUCGUGCCACUGUACUCCAGCUUGGGUGACAAGAGCAAAACUCUGUCUCAAAAAAAAAAAAAAAAUUCCAAGAUUAUAGUCUUUUGAGAUGUUAAACAUUUUCUUUUAUAAAUAAUGAUUAUAAUAAAUUAAUAGCUUUACUUGGCAAGGCAAGAUUAAAAGUUGGCAAAAAUCAUACACUGGUCCAAUACCUUAAAAAUUACUUUUCUGUAGAAGCCAAAGAAUGGGUGCACUAAUCUAAAUACCUAUUGUGCCUCUUAUUAAUAUUAAGGCAAUCCCAUAUGACUGUCAACAAAUAGAAAUAUUCAUGAUUAAGGCACAGCAUUAGAUGUGAUAGGUGUAACAGCACUGGCCUAAGGUCUAGUCAUUUGGAGCUUCUUUUAGGUUUUUGGUCUGUAUUCUAUCUUUACAAAUUAUUAAAUUAUUAAAAAAUUUUAAUUUUUAAACCCAAAUCUGUGAUUUGAUUGAAAUGCUGAAAGAUGCGAUAUUAGUCACCAUACUUUUAACUUCAAGAUACUCUUUUCUGAUAACACAAUUCCUAUCUUCUGCCCUAUGCAAUGUCAGGUCUGUUCCCAGCAGCAGUUCCACAGUAAUGAUGCCACUUGGAAGAGAAAACAAUUUUGUUUCUUUGGGUUUUAAUUUGAUGUGUAAAGUCAAAAUUUUAACUCAGAGUAUGUGUUUUGCUGUGCUUUGUAACUUGCACUAAAGAUUUAAAUGUAUUAAACACAUUCCUUGCAAUAACUAAUCAUAAAAUUACAGUAUUUAUUAAUAGAAGAUUAAUAACUCUGGACCCAGUUUCACCUCCACAUUUAACAUCUUCCUCUUGUAUCUUUUGGAAUGCUUUCAGCUGCAGGUAAAAGAGGAAUGCUUUGUGUUACUUCACAAAGCAGGUCAGAGAUCUUGUGGUUCUAGGAUUGAUUGAUGCAGUAUCUCAGCAACAUAAUCGAGGACCCAGGUUUUUUCCAUAUUUUUCACUGGCUAUCUCAGCAUGUUCACUUGUCCUGUUAUACUCUCUUCCAUCAUGGAGAGCAAUAUGACCACACAGUUCCUGGUGUUCAAUGUAGAUAGUAAUACUUAGCAGCAGGAAAAGGGGACAUUCCUCUGUUGUGUCCCUUUUUAAGACUUAAGGAACACUUCCCCAAAAGCCCAUUUUCUCACUUUCCCUCAAGCUUCAUCCAGAGUUGUGUUAUCAGCCUGUUUGUAAACCGUUUGCUG
This 7083-nucleotide long non-coding RNA is filed under the name Homo sapiens (human). RNAcentral describes it as "HSALNT0010498". Lineage: Eukaryota; Metazoa; Chordata; Mammalia; Primates; Hominidae. The record is from RNAcentral.